GAUGAACGCUGGCGGCGUGCUUAACACAUGCAAGUCGAACGAAGCACUUAAGAUUGAUUCUUCGGAUGACGUCUUUUGUGACUUAGUGGCGGACGGGUGAGUAACGCGUGGGUAACCUGCCUCACACAGGGGGAUAACAGUUAGAAAUGACUGCUAAUACCGCAUAACCCGAUAGGAUCGCAUGAUCCAGACGGAAAAGAUUAAUCGGUGUGAGAUGGACCCGCGUCUGAUUAGCUAGUUGGUGAGGUAACGGCCCACCAAGGCGACGAUCAGUAGCCGGCCUGAGAGGGUGAACGGCCACAUUGGGACUGAGACACGGCCCAAACUCCUACGGGAGGCAGCAGUGGGGAAUAUUGCACAAUGGGGGAAACCCUGAUGCAGCGACGCCGCGUGAGUGAAGAAGUAUUUCGGUAUGUAAAGCUCUAUCAGCAGGGAAGAAAAUGACGGUACCUGACUAAGAAGCCCCGGCUAACUACGUG
Molecule: ribosomal RNA, 479 nt
Filed under: uncultured bacterium
Lineage: Bacteria
Description: partial 16S ribosomal RNA
Rfam family: Bacterial small subunit ribosomal RNA
Source: RNAcentral